Molecule: ribosomal RNA, 474 nt
Filed under: uncultured bacterium
Lineage: Bacteria
Description: bacterial SSU rRNA
Rfam family: Bacterial small subunit ribosomal RNA
Source: RNAcentral
ACUCCUACGGGAGGCAGCAGUGGGGAAUAUUGCACAAUGGGCGCAAGCCUGAUGCAGCCAUGCCGCGUGUAUGAAGAAGGCCUUCGGGUUGUAAAGUACUUUCAGCAGUGAGGAAGGUGGAGUCGUUAAUAGCGGCCUCAUUUGACGUUAGCAACAGAAGAAGCACCGGCUAACUCCGUGCCAGCAGCCGCGGUAAUACGGAGGGUGCGAGCGUUAAUCGGAAUUACUGGGCGUAAAGCGCAUGCAGGUGGUUUGUUAAGUCAGAUGUGAAAGCCCGGGGCUCAACCUCGGAAUUGCAUUUGAAACUGGCAGGCUAGAGUCUUGUAGAGGGGGGUAGAAUUUCAGGUGUAGCGGUGAAAUGCGUAGAGAUCUGGAGGAAUACCGGUGGCGAAGGCGGCCCCCUGGACAAAGACUGACGCUCAGGCACGAAAGCGUGGGGAGCAAACAGGAUUAGAUACCCUGGUAGGCACUGCU